GGGUAGCUAUGCUGAUUUAAUAUAAUAAAAAUGAACCUCCUUCCCCGAAUACUAUAUCUCCUACAAACCCUUCCCUUCGCUAUCCCAUGCACAUUCUUUAACACAAUCAGAUCCAUUUUCACAAAACUUUUGUGGGCAUAUACAACCUCGCGUUUAGCUCACGCCACUCUAACCAGGAGUAAGGAACAAGGAGGAGUAAACCUUCCAAACAUUGAUCUAUACCAUAAAGCAAUACACUUACAGAGGAUCUAUGAAUGGACCAAAAGCACAUAAAUCCAAC
Molecule: non-coding RNA, 280 nt
Organism: Pelobates cultripes (western spadefoot toad)
Lineage: Eukaryota; Metazoa; Chordata; Amphibia; Anura; Pelobatidae
Source: the annotation of a GenBank genome assembly